GGGAGGUAGUGACAAUAAAUAACAAUACAGGGUUCUUUUGGAUCUUGUAAUUGGAAUGAGUACAAUUUAAAUCUCUUAACGAGGAACAAUUGGAGGGCAAGUCUGGUGCCAGCAGCCGCGGUAAUUCCAGCUCCAAUAGCGUAUAUUAAAGUUGUUGCAGUUAAAAAGCUCGUAGUUGAAUUUCAGGCCUGGCUGGACGGUCCGCCCUUCGGGUGAGUACUGUCUGUGGUCGGGUCCUACCUUCUGGCGAAGCGUCAUGGCCUUAACCGGCCGUGGCGGGGAACCAGGACUUUUACUGUGAAAAAUUAAGAGUGUUCAAAGCAGGCAAUCGCUUGGAUACAUUAGCAUGGAAUAAUGGAAUAGGACAAUGGUUCUAUUUGUUGGUUUCUAGGACCGUUGUAAUGAUUAAUAGGGAUAGUUGGG
This 423-nucleotide ribosomal RNA is filed under the name uncultured Paraglomeraceae. Its description in RNAcentral is "SSU rRNA". It matches the Rfam family "Eukaryotic small subunit ribosomal RNA", at positions 459 to 886 of the family's 1831-position model. The record is from RNAcentral. Lineage: Eukaryota; Fungi; Glomeromycota; Glomeromycetes; Paraglomerales.